This 718-nucleotide ribosomal RNA is filed under the name Kazachstania viticola. Its description in RNAcentral is "partial small subunit ribosomal RNA". The record is from RNAcentral. Lineage: Eukaryota; Fungi; Ascomycota; Saccharomycetes; Saccharomycetales; Saccharomycetaceae.
CGAAAGAUUGAUCUAGUCACUUAUUAGGAUGAUUUUUAAAAUAUAUUAAAUAUAUAUUUAUAUAUAUAAUAAUAUUAUAUAUAUAUAAUAUAUAAAUAAAAUUAAUAUAUAAAAAAAUUGAUUAAAAAUAAAAUCCAUAUAUAAUUUAAAUAAUGAUAUAAAUUCCCUUAAUAUUUAAUUAUUUUUUUUUUCUUAAAAAAAAAGAAUGAAUAAAUUAAUAGGAUUAUUAAUAAUAUUUAUUUAUUAAUUAAUAAUUAUAAUAGUCUUAACAAAUAAUUGUGCCAGCAGUUGCGGUCAUACAAUGAAGGCUAGCAUUAAUCAUAAUGGUUUAAAGAAUCCGUAGAAUUAAAAAAAAAGUAAUAUUUUAUUAUUUUACUUAUUUUAUUUAUUAAAAAAGGGUAAAUAAAUAAGCUUUUAGAGUUAAUAAAUUAAUUAAAGAAUUAUUAUAGUAAAGAUGAAAUUAUAUUGAUAAUAAUAAGACUGAUAUAUUGUGAAAAUAUUAAUUAAUAAUUAACUGACAUUGAGGGAUGAAAUCUAAAGUAGCGAAACAGAUUCGAUACCUGUGUAGUUUUAGAUGUAAACAAUGAAUACGAUUAUAAUUAUAAAUAAAUAAAAAAUAAUUAUAAUAUAUGAAAAUAAGAGUAUUCCACCUGAAGAAUACGUUAGCAAUAAUGAAACUCAAGACAAUAGACGGUUACAGUCUUAAGUAGUGGAGUAU